Molecule: ribosomal RNA, 406 nt
Filed under: uncultured bacterium
Lineage: Bacteria
Description: partial 16S ribosomal RNA
Rfam family: Bacterial small subunit ribosomal RNA
Source: RNAcentral
AUUGAACGCUGGCGGCAGGCCUAACACAUGCAAGUCGAACGAGUGGCGGACGGGUGAGUAAUGUCUGGGAAACUGCCUGAUGGAGGGGGAUAACUACUGGAAACGGUCGCUAAUACCGCAUACCAUCGGAUGUGCCCAGAUGGGAGUAGCUUGUAGGUGGGGUAACGGCACACCUAGGCGACGAUCCCUAGCUGGUCGGAUAGGAUGACCAGCCACACUGGAACUGAGACACGGUCCAGACUCCAACGGGAGGCAGCAGUGGGGAAUAUUGCACAAUGGGCGCAAGCCUGAUGCAGCCAUGCCGCGUGUAUGAAGAAGGCCUUCGGGUUGUAAAGUACUUUCAGCGGGGAGGCGUUACCCGCAGAAGAAGCACCGGCUAACUCCGUGCCAGCAGCCGCGGUAAUAC